GAUGAAGAACGUAGCGAAAUGCGAUACUUGGUGUGAAUUGCAGAAUCCCGCGAAUCAUCGAGUUUUUGAACGCAAGUUGCGCCCGAAGCCAUUCGGCCGAGGGCACGUCUGCCUGGGUGUCACGCAUCGUUGCCCCCCCAAACUCCGGUUCGGGCAGGGCGGAAGUUGGCCUCCCGUGCGUGCCUGCGCGCGCGGUUAGCCCAAAAGCGAGUCCUCGGCGACGAGCGCCACGACAAUCGGUGGUUUUUUUACCCUCGUUCCUCGUCGUGCGUGCCCCGUCGCCCGAACGCGCUCUUGCGACCCUUACGCGUCGCCUCGGCGGCGCUCCCAACGCGACCCCAGGUCAGGCGGGACUACCCGCUGAGUUUAAGCAUAUCAAUAAGCGGAGGA
Molecule: unclassified non-coding RNA, 390 nt
Filed under: soil metagenome
Description: partial contains 5.8S ribosomal RNA, internal transcribed spacer 2, and large subunit ribosomal RNA
Rfam family: 5.8S ribosomal RNA (bases 1-122)
Source: RNAcentral